MicroRNA precursor from Oryza sativa Japonica Group (Japanese rice), 207 nucleotides. It matches the Rfam family "MIR812 microRNA precursor family". Lineage: Eukaryota; Viridiplantae; Streptophyta; Magnoliopsida; Poales; Poaceae. The record is from Rfam.
AAUAAGUACAGUUUUGCACUGUUUAUAUCCAACGUUUGACCGUUUAUCUUAUUUGAAAAUUUUGUAUGUUUACUACUUUUAUUGUUAUUAAAUGAUAAAACAUGAAUAGUACUUUAUGUGUGACUAUUUUUUUAAUUUUUUUUAUAAAUAUUUUAAAUAAGACGGACGAUCAAACGUUGGACACGGAUUAUCAUGGCUACACUUAAU